Molecule: non-coding RNA, 1646 nt
Filed under: Saccharomyces cerevisiae YJM1447
Lineage: Eukaryota; Fungi; Ascomycota; Saccharomycetes; Saccharomycetales; Saccharomycetaceae
Description: 15S ribosomal RNA
Rfam family: Bacterial small subunit ribosomal RNA
Source: RNAcentral
GUAAAAAAUUUAUAAGAAUAUGAUGUUGGUUCAGAUUAAGCGCUAAAUAAGGACAUGACACAUGCGAAUCAUACGUUUAUUAUUGAUAAGAUAAUAAAUAUGUGGUGUAAACGUGAGUAAUUUUAUUAGGGAAUUAAUGAACUAUAGAAUAAGCUAAAUACUUAAUAUAUUAUUAUAUAAAAAUAAUUUAUAUAAUAAAAAGGAUAUAUAUAUAAUAUAUAUUUAUCUAUAGUCAAGCCAAUAAUGGUUUAGGUAGUAGGUUUAUUAAGAGUUAAACCUAGCCAACGAUCCAUAAUCGAUAAUGAAAGUUAGAACGAUCACGUUGACUCUGAAAUAUAGUCAAUAUCUAUAAGAUACAGCAGUGAGGAAUAUUGGACAAUGAUCGAAAGAUUGAUCCAGUUACUUAUUAGGAUGAUAUAUAAAAAUAUUUUUAUUUUAUUUAUAAAUAUUAAAUAUUUAUAAUAAUAAUAAUAAUAUAUAUAUAUAAAUUGAUUAAAAAUAAAAUCCAUAAAUAAUUAAAAUAAUGAUAUUAAUUACCAUAUAUAUUUUUAUAUGGAUAUAUAUAUUAAUAAUAAUAUUAAUUUAUUAUUAUUAAUAAUAUAUUUUAAUAGUCCUGACUAAUAUUUGUGCCAGCAGUCGCGGUAACACAAAGAGGGCGAGCGUUAAUCAUAAUGGUUUAAAGGAUCCGUAGAAUGAAUUAUAUAUUAUAAUUUAGAGUUAAUAAAAUUAAUUAAAGAAUUAUAAUAGUAAAGAUGAAAUAAUAAUAAUAAUUAUAAGACUAAUAUAUGUGAAAAUAUUAAUUAAAUAUUAACUGACAUUGAGGGAUUAAAACUAGAGUAGCGAAACGGAUUCGAUACCCGUGUAGUUCUAGUAGUAAACUAUGAAUACAAUUAUUUAUAAUAUAUAUUAUAUAUAAAUAAUAAAUGAAAAUGAAAGUAUUCCACCUGAAGAGUACGUUAGCAAUAAUGAAACUCAAAACAAUAGACGGUUACAGACUUAAGCAGUGGAGCAUGUUAUUUAAUUCGAUAAUCCACGACUAACCUUACCAUAUUUUGAAUAUUAUAAUAAUUAUUAUAAUUAUUAUAUUACAGGCGUUACAUUGUUGUCUUUAGUUCGUGCUGCAAAGUUUUAGAUUAAGUUCAUAAACGAACAAAACUCCAUAUAUAUAAUUUUAAUUAUAUAUAAUUUUAUAUUAUUUAUUAAUAUAAAGAAAGGAAUUAAGACAAAUCAUAAUGAUCCUUAUAAUAUGGGUAAUAGACGUGCUAUAAUAAAAUGAUAAUAAAAUUAUAUAAAAUAUAUUUAAUUAUAUUUAAUUAAUAAUAUAAAACAUUUUAAUUUUUAAUAUAUUUUUUUAUUAUAUAUUAAUAUGAAUUAUAAUCUGAAAUUCGAUUAUAUGAAAAAAGAAUUGCUAGUAAUACGUAAAUUAGUAUGUUACGGUGAAUAUUCUAACUGUUUCGCACUAAUCACUCAUCACGCGUUGAAACAUAUUAUUAUCUUAUUAUUUAUAUAAUAUUUUUUAAUAAAUAUUAAUAAUUAUUAAUUUAUAUUUAUUUAUAUCAGAAAUAAUAUGAAUUAAUGCGAAGUUGAAAUACAGUUACCGUAGGGGAACCUGCGGUGGGCUUAUAAAUAUCUUAAAUAUUCUUACA